GCGCGGGUGGCGGAAUUGGCAGACGCGCUAGAUUCAGGUUCUAGUGGGUAAUUCCAUGCGGGUUCAACUCCCGCCUCGCGCA
This 82-nucleotide transfer RNA is filed under the name Candidatus Omnitrophota bacterium. RNAcentral's name for it is "tRNA-Leu". It matches the Rfam family "tRNA". From Rfam's summary of the family: Transfer RNA (tRNA) molecules are approximately 80 nucleotides in length. The record is from RNAcentral. Lineage: Bacteria; Pseudomonadati; Candidatus Omnitrophota.